UGGUGGUCUAUAUUUAGAAAGGGAAGGUCUCAGUUCUGGAUGGAGUUAUUUGCAGACCUUAGAGAUGCUGGAUACUUCAACGGGAGUCAUGAGCAUCAGUGCCUAUUGAGAUAUUGCUUUGGUGAUGUUAUUCAGAAGGACCUGGAUGAGUGUGUGAGACUGUGGAACAGUCACAGGAUUCGCCCUUCCAGAACAGCAGCAUGUCCAGGAGGAAUGCCCAAUGAACUCUACUACUUACCACACAGGUUUGGCUCCAGAGACUGCGGAUUUCAAGUGGAACAGGCUGAACUGGAUGCCCUUCCUGAGGCCAGCCUGUCAAUGACUCCUUGUGGGGACCCAAACAUGCAGGAAUACUUGGACUUUG
Long non-coding RNA from Micropterus salmoides (largemouth bass), 364 nucleotides. RefSeq lists it as uncharacterized. NCBI's taxonomy places the organism in Eukaryota, Metazoa, Chordata, Actinopteri, Centrarchiformes, Centrarchidae. The record is from RefSeq and is a predicted model, not a curated record. The transcript is spliced from 3 exons.